This is a non-coding RNA of Camelina sativa (false flax), 1771 nucleotides long. NCBI's taxonomy places the organism in Eukaryota, Viridiplantae, Streptophyta, Magnoliopsida, Brassicales, Brassicaceae. The record is from RefSeq and is a predicted model, not a curated record.
UCUCUCUCUCUCUCUCUCUCUCUCUCUCUCCUGUUCUAGAUCUCAUCAGGUUUUUUUUUCUGGUUAUUUUGUAGCUUCUACGAUCUGGUAACAUGUUUUUAUAUACGUCAUACCUUUCAUUUUUAAUUUGCAAAUCAAUAAUAGAAAUUUGUGGUUUUGUCUCAUUUUACUAUUUUAGCAGUAUAUAUUACCAAGUUCAGAGAGUGUUCAGUAUUUUUCUUCUUCCCCGCUCUUAUCUCUAUCUGUUAGGGUUUCACUUCUAUUUCAGGUUUGGAUAUGGUUAGGUUCCAACCAGUAGAAGCGAAUACGUAGAAUUGUACCAAUAACAACUUGUCAUCUCGACUAUUCCGCCAUGUUACCCCUCCCACAUAUGUAUAAUGUAUACAUAGAUAAAUUUAUAUUAUAUACAUAUAUCUAUAUAUCUAUAUAUAUUGAAGGUACGAGUUUCUAUAAGUUAUGAAGGAUAAGUAAUUAAAUAUAUUUAGAGGAGAUGUAUGUAAGUAGUGAAUUGGAGUUAUGAGUUUGAGUUUGAUUUGAGAGACAAAAGAUUGCUACAUGAAGAUGAAAGACUAUUUCCGAAGCCGCGCGCGGUCGUUGUUUGCUGCUGUGGCAUCAUCAAGAUUCACAUCUCUGUUGAUGGACGGUGGUGAUUCACUCUCCCCAAAUUUGUCUCUGUGAAAAAUGAGAAUCUUGAUGAUGCUGCAUCGGCAAUCAAGGACUAUUAUUUUUGCCCUUUCUGUAUUCCAUCCAAGAUCUUCUUCAGGAUCUCAAGUUUUUGACAGUCUUUUUCAACCCAAUACAUGAAUGGAUCCAAAAGCUUCUCUUUCAAUAGAUGAACAAGAGUCACAAUAUCAUCAAAAGGACUAACUAAGGUAACUAUGACAUAUUCCUAUACAACUUUCUCUUGUUGGCAAAAUUUCAGCUUGCACUUAUCACAACACAAUAUCCUUUUCUUUCUUUUGGAAAUAAGAAAAAAAAAAUGGAUAUCAUGGAAGUUGAUGAGAUAAUGAAAGGGUCUAGAUGCAACUAUUGAUGUCUAGCAGCAAAGAAAGGUUUUCAGGACAAACUGUCACUUCUCUCUGUGUUGUUGGUUUAUUGUUGGCUAUUACAUUCAAAAUGAGAAUCAAUUAGGAACUUGUUGGGUGGACCUUACACAUUGUAGACUAGGCAUACGUACUCAGUCCCACCUACUGAUGAACAUGAAGCAAAUUAAAAGUACUCUCAUUUUUUUUUUCUCUUAUAGGGUAAUAUAUUAUAGCAGACCAAUCAGAUUGUGAACAAAUCCAAAAUACAUAGUAUAAUGAGUUUCAUGUGUUGUUUGUGAGCACCAAUCAUCCCUAAUGUAGCUUCCAAAUCAAAUUAUAAAUACCUAAGUAAUGCCUUUUCUUUUGGUUAUGUCUUGUAGUACAUGCAGAUAUAGAUGAGUUUAGUUAGUUAAUGUCUUAUAUGUUAUGGAGCGUGUGUUUAAUCACUCCCCCAUCCAUAUAUAUUUAGUUAUUCAAAGAAAUGAAUCAUAGCUUCCACUAUAAAAUCUAAUUGUUUUGAGCAAUGAAUUGGAUGAUCGCGCUCCAUAAGUGGAAGUGAAAUCAUUCUAUCUCAUUCUUGUAAUGCACAAUGGCAAGUUGGCAACUAUUUUUUUCAUAUCAUGAUGAUAUUUUUGAUAUGUCCGCCAAUCACGUGUAUUUUGCAUAUAUCUUCCAGUAUUGGCAAACGAAAUUGUAAUUUUAUCAAAAUUAGUACAUCAAAAUAAUAUUAUAUGUCUUCACUCCAA